GAACAACUGAACAUUCACUCUUAAGUACAACUCCAAUCAGCUUGAAACAUAAAUUCGCCCAAUAAAAGAAACAAAAUACAUGUUCUAAAUAUCCAUUCUUAACAUCACACCAAACUCAAAACAAAAGAUUCAACCAUCUCAAAAUGCCAAAAGAAACCAUGACUACAAUAUAUACACACAGUAACGGAUCUUCUCAAAAUAACUUUCUAAUUCACUCCAAUCACUCUUCAAUCUCCAACUCCUGUAAGGAAAACAAAGCUAAAAGGUUGAGCUAAAGCUCAGUGAGGUCCCUCACAAGCAACAAUCAAUUAAACACUUAAACAAGUAGCAAAAUUAAACAAUUAAAGAAACACUUCACUGAAUGAAUUAGAGAACACUUCACUGAACAAUCACUUUUAAAAGGAUACGGUGCUCGCAUUAGAGCCACUUCAAUACACUACACACUCCACCAAACUCCUCCUUAUAAUCUCCAAAACAAUAAACACUUCUCUCACUUAGAUGGUCAUAUCAAUAUCAGUAAUCUUCUACUCCGUGGUAAUACUCGAGCAUACCAAUACACUUACCCAAAGCUACCGUCCUAUCCGACCAAUCUCUUUUACUGGCUCGAAUAGUCUGUUGAACAAAGGGUUUUGGGGCCCAGUUCAGUUGGUGUGGUAAAGUAUACACACGGCUUACAGUCAUGCACACUUACAACAACACUUGAUCAAUUAUCAACCUUCAAACUCAAACUAAGUCGAGUGCGAUAAAGUACACUCCCGACUUAGAAGGCGAGGAACAAUUGAAAACACUUUACAAUAAAACACUAUCAUAAUCACAUAAACAUCACUUAAGUAACACAUAGGCAAUUUAAACACACAACUGUGGAAACACUCACCAUUAAAGGUCAAUUAAGCUUCAUUUUCUGGGUUAAACCUUGAUCACUCUCAAUUCCUGAGGUAAAAUACAACUACAAUCAUUUAGGUAUUCUUAAUGUGAAUUCUAAUAAGUUUAUUUAGAGUUUUAGGAUUCUGUAAACAUAGUUCAACUAAUCCAAGCAGUCUAGUACUCUUAAAACUCCCAUUUGAUUCACACUUUUAAGAUUAGGAAUUUUAUGUGCAGCCCCAAACAUAAGUUUUAAAGUUCUAAAAUGUAAGGAGAGAAGUUUUAAGCAUUAAAAUCUCACCAAUUUAAGGUUUAAGUCACUAGAAACCAAGUUCCUUAGCUUAUAAAACAAGAUGUGAAAUUCCAGCAAUUCUUUCUUACAUUUCUCUUCGAGAUUUAUCAAAUUUAUCAACUCAAACAAGGGAGAUAUACAUGUACUCCAAAUUUAAGGUCUUGUUAGGUGUUUAAACUAAGGUUAAACUAUUUUCAACCCAAAUUUAAUGAUUAAGGCCAGUGAAAUUUUCAUUUCUUUCCUUUUUAAGCUAAACUAGAUUCUAGUUUGCUUGUUGUUUAAAUUUGCUCCAAUUCACCAGUUUUUUUUAAGUGAUAAAAAUCAAUAAGAUGCACAUGAAAACUAGGACAGGAUGUUAUAAGAUGUUUUAUACAAAAUUUAUAACCAAUUAUCUUGGAAAUUUCAAAAUAACACAAGAACUCUACCUCCUAACUCCCUCGGCCAGCACACAUGUUUCCAGCUACAUUACCUCAGAAUUUUCAACAAAGUUCUAUCUUUCACUUGCUUAAAACACUAAACACUUAGUAUAUUUUCUGUCCAAUCUAAUCUAAAGCAAACUUGCAUACAAUUCCAGCAGCAGUUCCACCAAUUAGCUAGCCUCAAGUAAUCCUGUCAUCAGCAACAUAUAACCUUUAGCAAAUUUUAACAGUGUAAGUAUGAAAUUGCCUUUCUCAAUUUUAUGCAAUUUCUCACUCCCAACUUAACAUACAGGAGUUGUUGUUAUGUUACAAGGUAACUUAAGCAGCAGUAUAGAAUUUAUAACAAGGAAUUCGAAGAGAAAAGUUAGAUAAAACUCUAUUCCCUCUCUCGGCUAAAGCUGGAAAAUUUCCAGCAGCCUCCCUUCAACAUUACCAACUAAAACUACCUAUAUAUCAUAAGUUUCACAGCUAAUGAUCUUAUAUAACUUGAAAUGGAUAUAUUUCAUGCAUCUCCUAGCAUGAUUUUCCAAGAAAAUUCUUGUAACAAAUGCUAAAAUUCUAACUUCACUCCCUCAGUUAUCCCAGUAAUUUUUCUUGCACUUUGUCAGUCUUUUUAAUUCAGAUUUUCUUCAGCCAAACCUCUCUAUUUUACUCUUAAAUCUAACAUGCAUGUUAAGUCCAGUAUAUUAUACAAUGUAUUAAAGCUCAAUAUAGAUUUCUUUUGAACCAAAAUUCAUAAAGGUAGCUGAAACUUUCUCAUUUCUUCCUCUCGGCUGAAGUUGGAAAGUUCCAGUGACUUUCCUUUAGCAAUUUCCAGCUCAAACUUCCAACUUUUCACAAGUUUUCUAGCUAAACCUCUUAUAAACUUAAGAUAAAUAUAUUGCAUGCAUUUCUUAACAUUAUUCUCUAAAGAAAUAUUAAUAACAAGUUGCAGAUUUAAAUUUUCACUCUCGGUUUCCGCAAUUUUCCUUUCCUACAGCUUUUCGGUUGCUACACAGAAUUUUCUUUAGCCAAGAGCUCAUUUUCCUAGCUAAGUUCAACAUGCAGCUUGUAUAUAUUCAAUUAUACUAAAUAGGCAGGAAGUUAUUGCAGAAUCUUACAUCUUUUCCCCCAGAAUUCGAUAAUUGCAAACUGCUCUAAUUCUCUGCAUCGGUUCCUCAAAAUUCUUGCACUAGAUUCUCACUCCAGUUCUCCUUGCUUUACUCUCGCUUGGUUGUGGUUAGCAGGUGUUGAAGCUAGCAAAAUUUCUGUCCCUCACUCUCACUUCUACUCUCAGUUUUGAGGUUGGAGAAAAUAUAGCUUAGCUCUCAGUUGUUCUUCUUUUGCUCUUAGCAAAUUGAUA
This 2914-nucleotide long non-coding RNA is filed under the name Coffea arabica (coffee). RNAcentral describes it as "long non-coding RNA (CARA_LNC007701)". Lineage: Eukaryota; Viridiplantae; Streptophyta; Magnoliopsida; Gentianales; Rubiaceae. The record is from RNAcentral.